CCUACGGGAGGCAGCAGUAGGGAAUAUUGCUCAAUGGGGGAAACCCUGAAGCAGCAACGCCUCGUGGUGGAUGAAGGUUUUCGGAUUGUAAACUCCUUUUGUUAGAGAAGAUAUUGACGGUAUCUAACGAAUAAGCACCGGCUAACUCCUUGCCAGCAGCCGCGGUAAUACGGAGGGUGCAAGCGUUACUCGGAAUCCCUGGGCGGAAAGAGCGCGUAGGCGGGAGAGCAAGUCAGAUGUGAAAUCCUAUGGCUUAACCAUAGAACUGCAUUUGAAACUGUUGUUCUAGAGUAUGGGAGAGGUAGGGGGAAUUCUUGGGGUAGGGGUAAAAUCCGUAGAGAUCAAGAGGAAUACGCAUGGCGAAGGCGACCUGCUAGAACAUAACGGACGCUGAUGCGCGAAAGCGUGGGGAGCAAACAGGAUUAGAUACCCCUGUAGUC
Molecule: ribosomal RNA, 440 nt
Filed under: uncultured bacterium
Lineage: Bacteria
Description: partial 16S ribosomal RNA
Rfam family: Bacterial small subunit ribosomal RNA
Source: RNAcentral